Molecule: long non-coding RNA, 444 nt
Organism: Herpailurus yagouaroundi (jaguarundi)
Lineage: Eukaryota; Metazoa; Chordata; Mammalia; Carnivora; Felidae
Exons: 3
Source: RefSeq, a predicted model, not a curated record
CGCACCUCCCCGGGCUUGGGCCGCGGGGCCCUGCGGCAGGGGCGCGUGUGAGUGUGCACGAGCGCGUGAGUGUGCCGGGGGCGGGCGGCGAGCCGGCGCCAGGCUCCAGGAGGGACAAGAGGCCUGCUCGGUUCCGAAAAGACCGAUGAGAACGCGGGCGCGCCCGAUUCCGUGCGGCCGUGGUUAUUAAUCCAUGCCUGACUUCGAAAUGGAAACUCCGAGACCGAGUUAAUUGCCUAAUUACUUUUGGAGAAUAACCCACCAACCAACCAUGGGUGAAGCAUGAGAAUCACCAGCACGCGGAGAUGAGACGAAAGCAGGUCCCCUCCCUGGUGGGGGAGGCGGCUCCCACCUGGCACACUCCUCUCGGAUGGAGACUGGAGAGGGUUCCCGUGGGCAACUGCUUCCCCGCAGAGACCCUGGCUCGGUGGGUGAGGAAGCAGA